GUUCGUUCCGGACGUUUGAAACAUGUGGCGUUUAGGAGGAAGCGUGCCGGAGGUCGAAGCCGCAGCAAGUCCCCCUGACCGGGGCUGUUACCCAGAGCGGGUGCGAGGCCCAUAGUUGCGGAGUCUCCUCCGGAUGCGACCUCUUGGGAGUCGGGUUGCUUGGGAGUGCAACCCUAAUCGGGUGGUAAACUCCACCUAAGACUAAAUACGGCCGUGAAACCGAUAGCAAACAAGUACCGUGAGGGAAAGUUGCAAAGAACUUUGAAGAGAGAGUUCAAGAGUACGUGAAACUGCUCAGAGGCAAACGGGUGGGCCCUCGAAAUCCUGUGGCGGGGGGAUUCAGUCGGGACGGGCAGAGUCGCUCGGCGGUUCCGACGGACCCUAUCCAAGGCCGGGCCGUCAGCGACGUCUCUUUCCGGCCCGACGCAUUUCCUCCCGCACUGAGGACGCCGCAGCCGGUUGGGUAGCUGCGCGAGUCGGCCAUGAGGGCGAGCCGCCGCAGGUGGCCGGGAGCGCGGUUCCGCGCCUCCGGUUGUUAGCUGGCACGCCCGUGGCGCGACACCCGACCGAGGUUGAUCGGUUCCCGUACGGGAACUAGCCGUCCCCUCCGAAGCGGGGGUGGCAGGCGUCGCCCGGNGUCGUCGCGUCACUCUCGUAGUGGCGGACGCGUCGGGUUCGCCGCUGGGGCUCCGUGGCUAGCGGCGAGUAGGUCGGUCACCCACCCGACCCGUCUUGAAACACGGACCAAGGAGUSUAACACGCGCGCGAGUCACGGGGUCUUGAUUAGGCCCAGAGGCGCAAUGAAAGUGAAGGUCGACCUCGCGGAGGGCGGGGGAGGCACCAACGACCCGUCCUAUCCGAUUUAUCGGUUGGGCGGAGUCUGAGCGCGCGCGUUGGGACCCGAAAGAUGGUGAACUAUGCCUGGGCAGGACGAAGCCAGAGGAAAC
RNAcentral lists this ribosomal RNA (947 nucleotides) under Trogloraptor sp. 391. RNAcentral's name for it is "eukaryotic LSU rRNA". It matches the Rfam family "Eukaryotic large subunit ribosomal RNA", at positions 121 to 862 of the family's 3401-position model. Lineage: Eukaryota; Metazoa; Arthropoda; Arachnida; Araneae; Trogloraptoridae. The record is from RNAcentral.